ACGUCAAUCCUGGUACUAUUCACUUUACCUUUUAUUUUGUCCUUAUCAUUAAAACUCAAAGUUUUCAAGCCAUUUUCAUUAGUUUUCCUUAUAAUUAAUUCAUAGAGAAUUAGUAAACUAUUUGCAGUUUUCCAUUUAGAAGUGAGUUCAAGUGAGAUUUCGUUAUAAAAAUUACAGGUAUUGACAAGUUGCAUUUGGAUAUAUAACUUUGUAUGUUGAUGGUGGCGGCCAUCCAACACUCCAACUUGGUCAAACUAGUUAUCACUGUACUGGUGAAUAUGAGGGCUAAACAUUCCUCAAUAAGCAGAGGAACAAAUUAAAGUUUUGAUAUAGAUUUGGUGCCAUUCCCUAAAAUUGGUGUCAGCAUCCACAAUUAUUCAGUAAUAAUGUCUUAAACAUGACAUAGAUAUCCAAUUGCAAUGAAUUAAAGUGAUGGCAAGCAAUAUAAACACAUUUAAGAGUCACUGAUCUCAACUGAUGGCCAUAGUCCUACUGUCAAUUAUCCUCCAAACCUAUUUCAACCACAUUUGAGCACUAAAACAAUAUUGUGAAGUGACAUCUUGGUACAAAUCAUAUCCAUUUUCCACGACAGUAUGACACAACUUUCCAAUUAGUGUGUAAUUUCCAUCGUUGUGGCCACCAAAAUUCUGUGUUUAUAAUUUGAGGAGAUUAUAAUGUAUUAAUUUCUUUAACGAAUAAUUCAUUUUUUCUACAAUUAAGUUUGACAUAAUUCUUUUAUUUCUUCCUUCAACAUAAGGGCACCAACACCAUCACACUCCUAUCAAUAGACAUGAAUUAUAAUACUUUUGGUUACUCAUUUUUUUAUUAAAACAAUAAACAUCAUCGAGAUUAUAUUAUUAACAUGUACUUACAAUUUUAGGAAAACUAAUGAAAAAAGCUUGAAAACUUUAAGUUUUAAUGAUAAGGACAAAAUAAAGGGUAAAAUGAAUAGUAUCAGAUUUGACUUUUUAGUAUAAAAAUGUGAUUUUUCGUUAAAGUGAACAGUACUACGGGUUUUUCGUUAAAACUCUGUACAAUGUUUAGGUUACAAUGGUAUAAAAAAACAUAUCGGCUUGGUGGCAGCAGAACAAGCAAGUCUAGCCCAUGAUUUAUAUUAGGGGAUCUUGAUGGGCCAAGUUUGGACCCCAACAAGAGCUUAUGCGAUGAGGCAGGCAAUGGGUUAAAUAUUUUAAUUAAUGGUUAACCAUUCAAUAUAUUAAGCCCAAGUUUAAACAAGAUGGAAACACUACUGGCGGUGGCGGCAAAGUCGAUGAACAACUUCGACUUUCUGCCUCGAAUCCGAUUCAAAUUUAACCAGAACCGACGGCGUCACUCAUGAAACUCGCGAGGCUCAUUACGCGCCACUUCACCACCUCCACGGUGGUUCAAAAAUCAGAGCGAGUGGCCGCCGGACCAAUCACGUUGAGCUCAAUCAAAGAGCUUCACGCACACCUUAUCAGAACCCACCUCCACAAAGACCCAUCGUCUCCCGUCUCCGAGGUUACCAGAGUUUACGCGCUAUCUCCGCCGCAUUUAAACAAAGCCCAUUUAGUCUUCGAUCAAAUAGAGCGACCCUCAUUUUUGGUUUGGAAUCAUAUGAUCCGUGGAUUGUCACAGAGUGAGAAACCAGGUGAAGCAAUUCACAUGUAUAAUCGUAUGUACCUUCAAGGAUUGGCCGGGAAUCAUGUGACUUUUAUAUUCGUUUUCAAGGCUUGUGGUCGAGCUUCUGAUGUUGGAAAUGGGAAAAGAGUCCAUGGACAUGCACUCAAACUUGGGUUCGAGUCGUAUCUUUUUGUAUCCAAUGCAUUAAUUUUAAUGUAUGCGUAUUGUGGUGGUUUGGGUCUUGCGCAGAAACUGUUUGACGGAAUGUGUCAGAGAGAUUUGGUCUCUUGGAAUUCUUUGAUAUGUGGAUAUAGUCAGUGCAAUAGGUUUAAGGAGGUUUUGGGUCUGUUUGAGGCAAUGCGGGCAGGGAAUGUGACGGCUGAUGCGGUGACGAUGGUGAAAGUUAUUUUGGCGUGUAAUUACUUGGGUGAAUGGGAGUUUGCUGAUUCUGUGGUUCAGUAUAUUGAAGAAAAUCAUGUUAGGAUUGAUGUUUACUUGGGAAACACUAUGAUAGAUAUGUAUGGACGGCGUGGUUUGGCGAAUUUGGCUGGGAAGUAUUUGAUCAGAUGCGUGAAAGAAAUAUAGUUUCGUGGAAUGCCAUGAUCACGGGAUAUGCAAAAGUGGGAAACUUGGUUAAUGCAAGAAAGCUUUUCAAUGAGAUGCCGAAGAGAAAUGUGGUGUCUUGGACUUCCAUGAUCACUUGUUACUCUCAAGCUAAUCAACAUACUGAGGCAGUGAGUCUUUUUCAAGAAAUGAUGGCAGCUGAUGUGAGACCGGAUGAAAUAACCAUUGCUAGUGUGCUUUCUGCUUGUGCCCGUGUGGGUUCACUUGAUGUGGGAGAGGCUGUCCACAACUACAUAAAGAAGCAUGGAGUGAAAACAGAUAUUUAUGUAGGAAAUACUUUGAUAGAUAUGUAUUGCAAAUGUGGGCUGGUUGAGAAGGCAAUGGAGGUGUUCCAAUGGAUGGAAAAGAAAGACGCUGUGUCAUGGACUUCGGUAAUCUCAGGCCUUGCUGUGAACGGUUUUGCAGAUUCUGCACUCGAAUUCUUCUCACAGAUGCUGAGAGAAGGUGUUCGACCAACUCAUGGAACGUUUGUUGGGAUUUUGUUAGCUUGCACUCAUGCGGGUUUAGUAGAGAAAGGAUUGGAAUAUUUUGAAAGCAUGGAAAAGAUUCAUGGACUGAUGCCAGAAAUGAAACACUACGGAUGUGUUGUGGAUCUUUUGAGUCGGUCUGGAAAACUAGAGAAGGCUUAUGAGUUCAUACAAAAUAUGCCCGUUGUUCCACAUGUCGUAGUAUGGAGGAUAUUGCUGAGUGCUUGCAAGGUUCAUGGAAAUGUGGCCCUAGCUGAGAGUGUCACAGCCAAGCUUGUUGAACUGGAUCCUUCUAACAGUGGGAAUUACAUUCUGUCAUCGAGUACUUACGCAGGUUCGGAUAGAUGGGAUGAUGCUCUGAGAAUGAGAGAAUUGAUGGGUGAGAGCAAGGUGCAAAAGCCAUUUGGUCGUAGUGCCAUCGAAAUAGACGGCAUAUUUUCGAACUCUCAGAAUUCGGGACUCACUUGAUUGCAUAUGAGCAUUGGCAAUCGCUUAUCUGCUCAACAUCGAAUCUGCUCAACAUCGAAUUGACACAGCUACUCUUGGAAGAUAUAUAUUGCAAUCGAGGUUUAUCUCUAAAAGUUGCAGUGUUUUCGAAUUUCGAUCCGAUUCCUGAGAGGACAAAGUAGUGAGGGUCUGGAAAGUUGGAAGUUUCAUUUCAAGUGAAAAAAUGUGGCUUUACGAUGGAGAGGCACGAAGUGCAGAGAAACCAUUGUGUACUAGUUAUACCUUCAUAAGAUCUCGGCUACAGAACAGUAGCAGUUAUGCAGAACAACAAGAUUGACCGAAAGCAUACGACGUGGGAAGGACCCUUCACCUGUGAUAUUCAUUAGUGCGUGUUUGCUUAUGUUUAUACGUUCAUAUUAUAAUACGUAGAUUGAUAACAUGUUAACAGAAGAAAAAUUGACAAAUAAGUUAGCCUUACUUACAACCAAUUUAGAAUAUGUACAUAAAAAAAAGGUUCAACGCAUAUGGCUUGUCGUAUACACUCAUCUUUCUUCACCCUUGUGCCUUUGUAUUCUUUUCAUUUUUUACAAGUCAAUGUCCAUUUCAUAUCACAAAACUACAAUAACCAUGAUUUAUUAAUUAUAAUUCAGAUAUCUGACGUACUUCCUAUCGUAUUAAGAAAUUAGGAAUUGGGACAAACCAUACAUAUCAUGGUAACGUCUUCCUGCAUGUGCACAAGACUGACAAACACAACACAAGAAGCGCCCGACUCUUGUGCCUGUAGAAACAAAAUACCAAGGUUUUUUUUUUUUUUUUUUUUUUUUUUUAAAUUUUUUUUUUUUUUUUUUUAAAGAGAAGUAAAUACUAAGUUAAACGGGAGGUGGAUUGUCUGUCCUUCCAUUUUCAUACUUUUUUCAUCCCCUCCUGUUUGUGUGGUCACGGUUAAGUUACAUCAAUAUUUUAUAUUGAUUUUUUUAUAAAAAUAAUAAAACAAAAAGUAAUAAGAAUAUAAAAUGUUGACGUGUCUUAACCGUGACCAUAAAAAACAACAGGGGAUGAGAAGAAUAUGGAAAUGGAAGGAUAGACAAUCCACCUCCAGUUAAACAACCAAUAGACCUCGAAUAAAUUGUUAAAAAAUAAGCCAACUAUAUAUGUCAUACCGAUGCACCACCAACUAUUUAUUAUACCAUAUAGUAGGAGUAGCAUAUUCCACGCAGAUGGUUCGGAGGCCAUUCAACCCACUACAGACCUCUGUGACUGAGGUAUGCAGAUCAAAAAGUUCGGAGCACUUAAUUUCAAUUUUACGUUUCAUAUGAAUUCAUCUUAUUAAUUUGCUUAACAAAAAUUAAAAUUUGAACAAUUUAAAUUUCAUUGUUAAAUUUCUUUAUAAGUUCUGAAUAUAAAGAUCGGAGUGGAUUCAAAUCCAUAGGUCGUGGACUCAAUUUUUAUCAUUAAACACAUUUGACUAAUGAAGCUUACAUCAUUAAGAAAAGGCAAUAAAACGAGCAUUAUCUCAUAAGCAUGGAUCCUUUGGUUCCACGCACAAUAGGGCAUCUCCCUUGAAAUAUUAUUAUUUAGGGUUUUUGGCAUCACGAGCGACAGUUGGUGCCGACUCGUAUCUGACUAGACACUUGCGUGGCAUACAUUUUCCCUCAUUGUUAUUUUUGGUAAAGAAAUGCUAAAAAGAUAUUUUUAAAAGCACGUUUUUUAUGAGUUUUUUAUUAUUUUUUAUUAUUUUAUAAUAUUUCAUAUUAACACAAAAAUUAACAUCAUAAUAAUUAUGAAAUGGGAGAGAAUACGCGAAGAGAAAGAGCAUUCUUAGCAUUUCUUUUUCGGGAAUCCAAAUAUUACCGUACUCUGACCUUUCUGCAGAUAGUUGCACAUUUUAAAUCUCCAAAUGAUUCCGGGACCAUCGUGUGGGUAGGUGUGUCAACGGUUACAAAAUAUCAUCCCAUAUAUUAUUCACGUGGAAGUUAGUCAGUGCUAGACGUGCAACAAAACCUGGCCCCACAACAAGAAAAUUUUAGUUACGAUAAAAAUACGAGUAGUACAUCAUGUAUUUUAUGUAAAUUGUAAAAAUUUUUAUUUUUUAAGUUAUUAACUUUUUAACACACAUAUCUCACUAUUUAUAUAGCAACACGUGGUGGUGUACCAUCCCGUAUGACAGUCAUAUUGAAAAAUCUCUCUCCCACGACAACAGAUAGUUCAUGUGGUACUCAAUAACUUGUGCGAAGCGGAAACACAAAAUAAUUGUAAUUUAAACCAAACAUGCAUUAUCACAUAAAGAGCAUGCAAGACCACUUACACUUUUUUUGUUUUUUUGGCAAUGGUUCGUGAAAAAACAACACAACAUCGUACAAUUGUUUUCGGAAGGGAAGAUUUAUAACAAAGAACGUGACUGCAUUUGAAUUUAAUCAUGCAAGAGUAUUCUUGUGUUAAGUUUGUCUGUUUGUAACACUACUAAAUCGCUCUCAUUUCAGAUAGUGUAGGUAAGUUUUUAACAGUAGCUAGGGAACUCCUCCUAUAAACCUGGUAAGCCCAUUUAUGUUUUUUUUGAGAAAAUGUACGAUAUUUAUUGAAGAAGAAACAACGUACAAUCUACAAGGAUAGGGCCCAUAAUGGGUCUCAAUAAAAACCUUACUGAGAUCAGACGAAUGGAAAAAAAAUGUCCCACACAAAAAUAAAAAAACGAACUAUCCUCCAAAACUACAAUCAAGUAAGAACUACAUAUUACUAUCAUCCAUGAGAGCAUCCGAGAUUAAUGAAAAGAAGAAAAACAAAUUUCUUGCUUGUAAUUAAAGAGUUGAUAUUGGAAAAUUUGGUGAAACUCGCACUAGUUAAAGAAAAAGCAGGAUUAUAGGAUAAUUAGGUCAAAUUAGGUGAAAUAUUCAAAUGUGGGGUUAAAGAAAAUUUAUGUAUUUGAUUUCCUACAAUUAUCUUUUGAUUGAUUGGUGAAUCAGGAUGUUUUUCUCAUUGGCUAAAUUGUGGAUAACCAAAAUAUUUAAUCCAUAAAACUAUCCUUCUUUGGUCGAAAAAUUAAUAAGAUGAUUAUAUCCUGAUUGUCCUAAAUGAUCUCUUAUCUAUUCACAAAGAAAAUGAUCCACAUGUAUUAAAAAACUGAUCUCAUAUUUGAGGUAAUUACUUUAAAGGCAUACUUGUUGAUUUACUCCUUGAUUUUGUAUCGAGCUGCUAAUUUUCCUUUUAAAUUUAAUUUUAGCUAAUUAUUCUCAUAAUUAGCUAAUUUUUCCUUGAACAUUAAUUUUAUCCAAUUACCCACCUGAACUUUUGUAUAUAGUCAAUUCCUCCUUGCAAUUAGAUUUUAAAAUUUUUCAUCUAAUUUUCUUCUAUCUUGAUCACGUAAAUAAUGGGUAAAUCAACAGUACCUCUUACUUCAAAUGUUUCUCUUUUUGGUUACAUCAUCUAAAUCAUCUUUGAAAGAUAUUACUAAUCAAAAUUAAAUUCAUUACUAAUCAAAAUUAAGUUCUCUGUGGGGACAACAUGCAGGACAAUACGGACGCCUGCUUACGUGAAUCUGACUGUGCAUUUCGUGGAAUACACUCACCAGUCGUGAAUAUCUGUUGAGGAAAAUCAUGCAUCCAUAUGGUACUUGCUAAUUCAGUUACUUCCAAACAGGAAUAAUUUUAGAGAGAUUAUAUUCACACAUUUCAAAUUAUUUCUUCUACAUUUUUUUUAAUUUUUUAAUAUUUUCUACAUACCACUAACACAGAAAAAUAUUAAAAAAUUAAAAGGGGGUGAGAGAAGUAAUUUGGGAUGUGUGAAUAUAAUCUCUCUAAUUUUAUACUCAUAUUUAUGCACCGUUGAAAAAUUAAUUACUACUUAAUAGUAUUUGUGAGAAAUUUUUCUGUAUAAUUAUAACAUUGUGUAGUAAUUGUUCCAUUUGUAUCGUCAUGUUAUAACAUGUGUAUUAGGGUUUAUGAUAGUGCUAUUCACACACUUUUACUUUCUAUACACCCUUAUUAAUUUUUAGUCAUUGAUCUUUUUUAAUUUAUUCGAUCCAACGGUACAAAGUUAAACUAGGUGUGUGAGAAGUAAAAAUAUGUGUGUGGAUGACACUACCUUAUAAAUAAUAUCGUGAUUGUAAUACUCAAAAUUUCUUUUAUUUGAGGUGUAGUUUACCUCCUAUGAGGGAUAUAUGCAAAAGUGCGAUGUAACAGUCUAACACAUGGUAGUAUAAAAUUUGGGAAAACCAUAAUAUCUAUAAAUUGUUAUCUGCACUCUAAAAUUUAUUAGCACUUCAAAAUUUUUAUUUUGCACUUUAAUUUUUUUAUAUUAAAAAAUAUACUAACGAAGAAUAUGAGAUUUUUAGAGUACAAUAACAGUUUCCUAUCCUUGAGGGAUCUAACUUUUAAUAUAUACCUAAUUUUCGCCAACUUUCAAAGUCACAAAUGUAGUAUUAUAUCAAGUUUAUAUCCUCCUAUCAUGUAAUUUUUUACAUCUCAAUUACACAGGGAGCUUAAGGGGAGGGAUCUCCAUUUUUUCAAAAAAAAUUGGGACACGCUCCCCACCGUUAGAUUGACUUUAAUGAAAUUGUGUGGUUGAGAUUAAAACACAGGCCAUAGAAUCUCAACCACAGGAUUUCAUUUAAUUCAAAUCUAACGGUGGGGAGCGUGUCCCCAUUUUUUCAAAAAAAUGGGGAUCCCUCCCCUUAAGCAAUUCCCUCAAUUACAAUAUCAAAGGCGGGAGAAAGUAAACUUCAAGAUCCCAAUCACGAUGAAAAUUCCAAUCCCUAGAAAAGAAUGGAAAAAAGUGUGAUGGUAACGGAUUAUAAUACUUUGGUUUUGGAUUAUUAUCGAUAGUGGAUAUAAAUAUAUGCAUAUUAGAUUUCACCAUAUAUGAUUUUAUAAUCUAUAUAUUGCAACUUGGACCAAAUCUUAAUUUUAUAAUUCCAUAUGCCCACCGGCUUCCAACCCUAAGUAUAAAUAUUACACCAAGAACCGCUCUGUUCCCAUCAGAAAAGAAACCUACUCCGUGUCUACCUUCUUUUAUUUUGGGUGCAAACCUACUCUCUGUAUCUCAAACACGGAAAAAAAAAAAAGCAAGCAAAAAAAUGGGUAAGGGAGGCAAAGCUGCUGAGCCAGAAAACAUGGGUGCUUGGCUUCUUGGUGUUAACAACAUCAAGAUCCAACCUUUCAAGCUUCCCAGUGUGGGUAUGCACCAACCCUAAAUCUUUUUAUUUCGUUGCAGUUUCCUUUCGGUUUUUAGUUUUCAGACGAGAUAUUUAUGAUCAUAUUGGCUUACAUCUUGCUCCAUUUUCUUGGAUUUCUUAACUUUAGGGCCCAAUGAUGUUCGCGUUCGGGUCAAGGCUGUCGGCAUUUGUGGAAGUGAUGUUCACUACUUCAAGGUUCAUCUCCCUUCCAUGCCCUUUCCCCUGUUUUUAAUAAUUUUUUUUUUUAAUUUUGAAUUUUUGAUGAUUUUAGAUGACAUUGUUUAUUCCUGAAAUAAGAAUGAAAUCAAAGCAGAAACAUUGAUAAUUUUCUCUGUUAUAUCCGACAGCUCCGUACUAACCACUUAGGUUUUCUCUUCUUUUUUUUUGUUUCGGUUCAUUUUUCAGACAAUGAAAUGUGCAGAUUUUGAAGUUAAAGAGCCAAUGGUAAUUGGCCAUGAGUGUGCUGGGAUCGUUGAGGAAAUCGGGGGCGAGGUGAAGCAUCUUGCUCUCGGAGAUCGUGUGGCGGUAGAGCCCGGGAUCAGCUGCGCACGGUGCCAGCAGUGCAAAGGUGGAAGGUACAAUCUCUGCCCGGACAUGAAGUUUUUUGCCACCCCACCGGUUCAUGGUUCCUUGGCAAAUCAGGUAAAAAUAUUCACAAUCAUAGAAUUUUAUAGGCUUUGCGCCAGAUCGAUAUUGCAGCAUCGCAGACCUUAGGCUUGUCUGAUAACCAUUUCGAUUAACAGAUUGUACAUCCUGCGGAUCUGUGCUUUAAACUCCCGGAGAAUGUGAGUUUGGAGGAAGGGGCAAUGUGUGAGCCCUUGAGUGUAGGGGUUCAUGCUUGCCGGAGAGCCAAUGUCGGUCCGGAAUCAACUGUUCUGAUCAUCGGAGCCGGCCCCAUUGGUCUGGUUUCUGUUCUGGCUGCCCGUGCUUUCGGGUCACCAAGAAUCGUCAUUGUGGAUAUGGAUGACCAGCGUCUAGCGAUGGCGAAGUCUCUUGGUGCUAAUGACACCGUCAAAGUUUCGACAAAAAUGGAAGAUUUGGAUGAUGAAAUUGCCCAGAUUAAGAUAGCCAUGAAGUCCGACGUGGAUGUGAGCUUCGAUUGUGUCGGUUUUAACAAAACCAUGUCAACCGCUCUUGGUGCCACCCGUCCCGGCGGCAAAGUUUGCCUCGUCGGAAUGGGACACGGCACGAUGACAGUCCCACUUACUCCAGCUGCUGCCAGGUAUAAAGCGACUCCAUUUCGUGUCCUUUUUCUACCUUUUCUCGAUAAGAAUGUCCUACAUCAAUUAUUUUUUUAGGCAUUGUGGAUCAAUAGUGUAAUUGCAAAUAACUUUUGUUUCAGAGUUUUGUUUGCUUUAUCUGAUAAUUAGGGUUUUGUCUUUUGAACACAGGGAGGUUGAUGUUGUAGGAAUUUUCCGGUAUAAAAACACAUGGCCGCUUUGCCUCGAGUUUUUGAGAAGUGGGAGGAUCGCUGCCGCCGUGAAGCCUGCUCUCUUAUCGCGACGAGUUCUUAUCUCUUGGACAGCUGGUUCUUGGGUCGUGAAUGCGACAAAGUGAGGUUGAGUUAUGCAAUUAAGGAAACCCCAUGGUGACCCGAAUUUUAAGGGGGGAAUUGCCAUUAAGACGAAAUCAUGUUUUAUUUUGAGAUGAUAUAGAUGACGCUACCACUAAAUACUUGUGAUUUCGGCAUCACUUCCACUAUAGCACGCUUAUCUGUCUUGAGAAUUGGCUUUGGAAGAGAUUUGGAUAUAGUCUCCGAAUCACAUCUAUCAUGUUUCACAUACAAUUAUCAACGAGAAUCCUUUGAAAAUAGAUUAUGGAAACCUCUGUUGAUCGCUCGAGACAGAGACCCAGUGAUACCUUCAAUUAACCUUGGUUCGAUUUUUUAUUAUUUUUUUUCUCGUUUUUUACUUUUUAACUGGUAUGCUUGAAUUUGACCAUCCGAUAUUAGUACAUAUGAAGAAAGGCCCAUACAUGUAAGAUUGAAUGCCAAAAAGGGUCCUCUCUUAAAUAACGAGGCAUGUCUUUCUUGCUAGACAUAUCAACAACAAGGGUGUUGUUCAUCUCUAACUACAGGUUUGGUGGGCCUUCUCUCAUUUCCUUUGAUAUACGCCCUCUCAGACACUCGCUGUCACACUAGGGACGCACUUUCACAUACCUUCAUAUCUCGGUUCCGGACAUUGUUGUUAGAGAUUUCAUGAGUAUAGAUGAGAAUAGAAAUAUUGAAAUUGAGUGAAAAACUAGGGAGGAAUUGCGGAAAACUCACAUAUAUAAUAUAAUGGAAGAGGCGACAAAAGGACCUUCACCAUACUCACAGGCUAAGACGCUCUCUGAUGAGUUUACAGACCUCACUUUCCAAACGGUCUUGAUGAGUUUCUGUUAGGAUUUCCCUCAUUUGUCAGCUUGGCAGUUGAUUAUUUAAACAACUCAGCUCAUGUGCAGGUUCCUGUGUCUAAGUAGAUGGAGGCGCGACAUACUAUGCCUAAGAGUGAACGCAAGCGUCGUAGACUACAAUGCGACCGUGAAAUGUAUGAGAUCAAACUUAAUGCAUGAGUCCUAGAUUAACAAUCAAAGUGACUUCACUACAGGUGAUGAGUCCUAUACUUCGAUUAUAUAUAGAUAAGACGAUAAAUAAGAAAUAAACUUGGUGCCCAUUCAUUAGUACAUAUUGUAUAGAAAAAACAGUAGUUCUGUUCAUAUCAACAAAAAUCUGAGAUUCAAGAUUUGGACCUCUUCUAAUAUUGCGAGCAAGAGUACCAUUACUACCACGCAUACAAUGAGAUAUUCAGUUUAGAUUGGCCUCGUGUAUUUUCUAAGGUACAUGGAAUAGAAAAGGCCGCUUGCACCCGCAUCUUAUGGAUCAAAUGGAGUUAAUUUGAGAAAACUUAGUGCGAGUGGUGAGAGGAACCCAGUUAUGAGAGGGUUAUCCCAGAUUAUCUAAGGCUACCAGUAAUGCUAUAUGUGGGUUGUUCAGUCUAAAGCAGUUUAAGAUAAACACACGCAAUCUAUGCGAGAGUUGCAGGACAACUUCAUGAGAAAGUUUGAGAGCGAGCGCAGCGUGAGAGAGUGCACAUAUCUCCCAACUAGCUAGGAUGUGUUGCCGAGCACAUGUAAUGCCAAUAUAACUCCAACUUCUCUUCCACAUGAUUCCAAGAAAGGAAAACUCAUAUCGAAAUGCUCGCUCAUCACUUACAUCUAUGAUGGAGAUUGCGGGUCUCACUUUAACCCUGUACGAAUUGCUUAGUAGAUAUAAAAUGGAAUACACGAUAACCCUCUUUCCCAGGUGACCAUAUCAUUCUUGCGUUGUGUACUCAUGACACUUCUAAACACUCUUUGUAAGCUUUCCCCAACCUUUAGGAAGGGACCCAAUUUUUUUAGCAAAUGUGGUCACAUGUCUUUUCAAGGAUUUGCAAGUGUUUCUAUUUUUUAUUUUUUGGUUAGUAAAAAUAUACUUUAGUCUCUUCUGUUGGUAGAGCAACGCAACGCAAAUGGUACUCGGGCAAAAUGAGUGAACCAUGCAACUUCCUAAAAUGCCAUACCAUUCUUAUGGUCGAAGAUGUGCCUUACAACCUUCUUAUAUGGAGAGUUACGAUCUAUUACUACUUUUUGUUAGACUUCCAAGGUUGUGAUUAGAGUGUGAGGUCACACAUGAAUUAUGUGAGAACCUUUACUCCAACAGGGCAUUGGUAUCACAGCAUAUCACAAAUUAACCUACUUACUCAUAUACCAUUAUUUAAAACGUAAGUGUGUUACUAAGAAUGAAUGUAACGAAUGCUCAAAAUAGCCCACUCUCCCUUCAACCAUGUUACCACUUAUGGAAUGGCUAAUUUCUUUACUGCUAGGAAAAGGCCGUAUUGGUGAUGCACAUUGAGGCUUUGCUAGGCAGAUCGAAACAGGUGAUUAAAAAGUGAAAUGACAGGAGCAUAGUACGGUUCCCUAGUCACUAUAUCAUCAUUGGACCACACGAGAGUAGGGCAGGUGAAAACUUUAUUCAAAACAGUGUUAGCCACCGUCUCCUAAUCAGAUAUUAUGAGAAGGCCUUAGACACUAUAUGGGGAAACAAAUACGCCUAUAGUCACCAAAAUCUCCGGGUGAGUUGAAAGUAGAACAGCGGCUAUAUGAAUCUUAGAACGCCCAUUGGUUUGUCUGUGUUCAGAUUCUACAUCAGUUUCGAUUGCUUAUCGCUCUCUCUUCAAUUCGUCUAAGUGGUCAAAACCUCAAGAAUUUAUCUUAUACAGUUCUUUUUCUUACAAAUGGGGUCUCUUCCGAUAAGCGAUGAAAGAGUCAACUAUGUCUCUAAUAUGAGGUCAAUGUUGGAUCUCUUUUGUGUGAGUCGGCCCCGGGUCUCUGCAUGGGACGCUCCCCUCACGUCAUACAUACACACUGAUCCCAAUAGUCCGCCCAUCUUCCUAAGUAUAUAUCCGGCUCAAGCCUUCUACGUCCAGCUCUGAGCGCCAAAUCACUUUUACUGGUUGUUGAGCAGAGUUUCAUUAUCAUCAAAAAAACACCAACCCGGUAACCUCGAUAUUAGUUUAAGAUUGUGUUGUGGUUCUAAUACUUUCAAUCCUAAUCAUAUAUUAACUCGCCUAUAUUAACUUUCCUUACUUUUACACCCACCGAUGUGAGAUUCCAAACACUCCCCCUCACCUCGGGGAUAACUAUCCCAUCCCAUUCUCGUGAAGUUUCACAUUGUAUAAGCAUUCUCUCCGGUCAUCAGGUCAAUUGCACCAAACCCAUCCAAACGAAGCAAUCCUCACAAUUGCUUCCGCGGCUUCAUAUGCUUAAGAACGCUCCGCACUUUUGUUUGUGUGAAAGAACUUAGGAGAUUGGUUGAUAGCUCUUAUCUGAUUAAGCACGCCCAACAUUCUGUGCCAUAACAGCAUCGGCCGGCCUUUAAUUGCCGUCUAGUAAAAAGUCUUGUGCUUGUUUCCUUCCCUCUUGGAGCUUACAUCAAGCUCAAAAUGGUCGAAGCUUUUCACGGGCCCGAACCUGGCUCUGAUACCCGGCAGGUAAAACUGGUAACAACACGCCGAUUAAUUAAUCAUUUUGGAACUCACCAUGAGCACACCCACCAUAAAGAGGUCGCAAGAAAAUAUGCAAACAGAGAAAAAUAACUGGGAGUAAUUAAAUUAUAGUGAUCAUCGAGUUUGAAAACCAUUGCCCAUAAAAACCAGCACUAUAAUGUAUGGAACAAAGGGGAUGUAAAAGAAAGGCACACUAACAAAUAAGUUAAGCAUACAUACAAAUAGUCCUAUGAGUAACUAGUAGAUAAUUUAUCGGUGGUAUUUAAUAAGUUAGUCUCAAGAUUUGGUUUGCGCAUAUGUAUGCCACUAUUGCCCAAAUAAAGGUUGUCUCAUACCAGCACAAAAAUGAUAAUGGUUAUUAGAGUACUAACACCACUGCCAGGUGGAGACACCUAAAGUAUUUUUGAGGACGCCUGAGGUGCUUAAAAAAAUCACCCAUGAAAUUAAUAUGUAAUGUACUGCACGGCGGUUUUAGCCGUGCUUCUGGUAAACAUUGUGGAGAGAUAGAAAAUGUGUCCUUAAUAGUAUAUAGAGGAAUUUGAUAUGGCUGCCUGUGUAGAAUAAGCUGAAAUCAAAGGGAAAAAGCGUGAAGCUGCUCUUUGUAGGCGUUUUUGGAUAAUACACUUUCGGGUUUCUCUCAUAUAAUUGCCUCCAAAAUCACCUUCUUCUCCCAGGCACCUCUUGAACCAAGUAGCAAGAAAGCUAGCAAUCCACGACGAGCAAAUCACAGAGCUUCUUCUCAAUGAAAAGACUGCAAACUAUUAGUAAACUAGCCUUUGGGUAUAUUGUUUCCAGAGCACUUUUACAACAAAAGUUACCAAACACUCUGCCUGAUUUAUUGUCACAGCCGCUUAUGUCCGUCUACUCAGCAUCGCACAAUUUCUCUGCCUUGGAGGUCUGAGUGUCACGUCUGGGCACACCGUAAGCUUUUUUUUUCAAAUUCCUUCACGACCCAUCAAUACCUAAACCCAGCCCUCUAAAAAACUCACCACAAACACCUAGAGAGCCUGCUGCUCACGCACGAUAGACCCUUGUGCAAUAAUAUCAAACUGCCACUGAUAGAUUUACAAAAGACGUAAUAUACAGUCAUACUGGGCCUGAUUAUGCUCGAUGCCUCUGCGUAACCAUCCUCAGUACUGACCCCAGUUUUCUGUCCACCACCCAAGCAAGAAAAUAACUUUCAUGUAAAGACAUGGAACACCUAUUGAGUGCUUUAUUCGUCUAAAGUUGCUACACGAAAAGUUAUAUAUGUUGACAGAGCCAUAAGACAUCCACCAACAGUAGGCUAUAACACUCACGACAAAUUAUUGGGAUUUUUGGAGUUCAUUUGCUAUUUCCCUUCAAAUUAAACUCCGAACACACAUAAUCAGUGAUUAUUGAAACACAGAUAGAUUAUUAAAGCUAAAUGGUUCACCCCAGGAAUUAUAUGCAAACUGAGAGAGUGUAUUAAGAGCGAGUAAACUGUAUGCUUACACCAUGCGGGGUCCUCCCUGACUUCUAACCUUGUAUAAUAUAAGAUAAAUCAUGAGCAAUACAGAUGUUUUAUUGUUAAAUUCAUUCAAAAAUUUCUGUUCUUAUGUCUGAAUACUAUGAAUGACAGCAGUGAUUUGACUUCGAAGGUUUGUCAAUCCAAUGAUUAGAUAACAUCCAAUUACCUAUUACUCUUUCUUAUACUUGUAGUAGGAUUAGUAUCGCUUACGAAUUGUACGUAUUUCAACUUUAACUUAUUUUCUCCACUUUAAGCCAUGCAAAUAUAAACCUAGAAAUGGGCGGUGUUCAUUUGCAGUACAGCAUUCCUUAAGAGAGGCUAAGGGAUAAUCCGCACUCUUCAAAGAAGCAAGAAUAAAAAGUUAGUGUAUAUGAAGACUCACAUCACAAAGAAAAUCCCAUGCUCAAUUUCGUACUGAUGAGUUGAAUGCCGCCUGUUGGUAGCACUUCUCUUGAGGGGCAGUUGUCGUUCUAGCCUCUAUCUUAGAAAUUGGUUACAUUGUUAGAGAUUUUCUGCCCACAUCUGUACAGACAAUCAGAGACACGUCGAAAGUAAAGCAUAUUAUAUUAUAGACUCUAAACUAUCAUUUUCUUGUCUAGUCAUUGAAUUAUAUGUUAAGGUCCUUGCACUCGUGAGUAACAGCGCAGCACGGACGAUCAACACAUUCAUAUUCUCUAUUAAGCAUAUAUUUUUAGUAACAUAAUGCUUACAUAGAUAUCGUGCUUAACUGGCAGAACCUUGCAAACUGUCAGAGCGCACAUCGCAACUAGAAAACAAAUAAAGAAUCUCCAUCAAUGAGUACACAAGUAUAGUUAGAUAAUGAAAACUCCACAGUAUAGCUCUCUCAGUUACCAACAAAUUAAUCGACUUGGAAAGUAUAAAUGUGCCAAGCGAAUUAUUAUCAUACUUAACAAAAUUGCAAUCUAUGAUAUCGGUAUGCAAAAGGGUUCUUACCCCAAAAGAAAGGACAAGCCCCAUAUACUUGGAAGGUAAGAAAAGAUACGUAAGGAAUAUUAGCAACAAGGAGCAAACACAAGAAUCCUUGUUCCAAUAUUCCGAAUAAAAUCAACCAAGAUAGACCAGAGUUGAGGAAGAAUAGAACCGAAAAGAAAAUCGACAAGUUCUCAAGGCAAAGUAGACCCGCCAGCGCCAUAUAAAUAUAGUACCUUUCCCACUUUCUCUUCACUCGCCCAAAUAUGCACACGUCUUUAUAUCGCGCAUAUUAUUAAGCUGAGCUAAUCCACCAAUUAACUACGUAAUCAUUUUCCAAUUUUUCUCACUUACACUUACUUAAAUACACACACUAGAGUAAAAGUUUCCAUUUGUAGAUGAGGUGAGAAUAAAAAGUGGAGAGCGGAGAGGAUGUGUGUUAAAAACAAUUCUAUUAGAGAAUUCAUUUUCUGCUUUCAAAUUACUAAUCACAAUAGCAGGGAGCAAUUGGUUACACAAACCCAAACUGAUAAGGUACGCACUUCAAAUAUUGCCAAAUUAUCAAUCAUUCCUCGUCUACAUCUUCUCAUCCUUUUAAUUCACACCUCCUAUUAAAUAUCAUGCACUAUAAUAUUAUGAAUAGGUUAGUCCACGCUGAAGACUGUUGUACUUAGGCUAGCAGUCAGUUUAUAUUGUAACACUGGAGACUAGGUGUUAGUAUAUUAGAGAGAUUUGAAGUUAAUACGAGCCCUUACACACAAACAAUAUAGCAGUAUACACACAGAGGCUCUAGCUAUCAGCGAGAGGAUCUAUGGAAACCUAUUAUUCAAUGCCUGUCAACAGCACGGGAGUACACUCUUCUUCACAGCCUAGAUCAAAAAUGAGAUAACAACAAUACGCACAACAUAUUAACUACCAGAGAAAUAGACACAUUCUUUCCCGUAGCAUUUCAAGAGUAUUAAAAGGCUCAUCAUCUCUUAUUCAUAUACUCGUAUCCUAGAAUAGCUUUCGCGAGAAACAUUGCCAUCUCAGAAGAUCCAGACUCUGAUCCUUGGAACCACCAGAGUCAGUUAAUAUUGAGCACAACACUGCCGAAGGAUUAAUGAAGUUUUUGGUCUUUCAAAAAAUCCCUAUCCUCUUGAUGCUUUUAUUUUCUUUCAUUUGCUUGAACAAUCCCACAAAACACAAAACAAAGAGUAUAGACUCAUUGUCUAUUCAAAAAAUAUAAAGACUCUAUACUAAGUUAUCACGCCAAGAGAAAGUCGCAAAUAUAUGAAUGGUAUACAAUAAUGACCAUACCUAACAAUUGGUCUAGUAUAUAAGAGAUAUGUAAGAGCCAUUAUUAACAGAAUAGUACUGUACAUAACUGUUAAGCUGAACUCACUAAUUUAGUUAUAAUGAAUACAAUCUUCACUGACAUUAAAGGGCGUCUACUGUUUACAAUCCAGUAAACUAAGGAUUGGGGAUAGACUAAAAUGUAAAAAAAAGGAACAAACAAUACGUAGAGAGAGAGCGGAAUAGCCUGAACUAAGAGAAAACACAUUAGCUUGGCACUCCAUAUCUGUGGAACGCUCUCAUGCCCAGUUAUGCAUGCAUCUGCGAUCUCAACUUGACAAACCAAAUAACAUUCUCGAAACCCCUUAUCUAAUUCCUCAUAACAAGAAACACUAUAGCUCAGUCAAACAAAUCAUCAUCAUCUUCAUUAUUGCUUACAUAGAAUUCUUACAGGGUAAAAUUUAUUAAAUACAUACGCCUAUUAAAAACAGUAAGAAUAGGUAAUAAAGUGAUUAGUGAUAGAUAAUAAGUCAAUUGGACUUAAAUCAGCCAGAAAUGUUACAAAGUUCUUACUCGAAAGAGCGAGCGAGAGAGAGGCAUUAACUUAGUUGCAUUACUCACAGAGACCACUCAUUCAUACAAGGUCACGCGACACCUUAUGCAAUGAUAUAGAGAUCUAUAGAGGCGCGUAGCCUUUCACGCUCAAAAGAAAUCAAAUGUGAAAGAUCUAACCAGAAUAAUUAUGUCGUUUUAGCUCAUAAAAGAGAUGCACUAAUAACGUUGCACAACUGAUUAGAUUUAUCAGCCACCAUGCAAAGGAAACAGUUAUAUAUCAAGAACGUGAGUGUUCUACAGAUAGGUGAAUGUAAUGAGGCUAUUGAGGUCGACAAUAGAAAGGCUAUUUAAUGAAAGAUAAAAAUUCGCAGCAUUAAGGGUAUCCAUAAAGCGAAGAGCUUCAAAAAAAUGUGGCUAUGCAACCUGUAUAAUCCGACAAUUAUGGUCGACCAUCAUUAUUUAAUACAUAAUUCACAGUUGUAGAAAACAUCGCUAUUCAUAGCCAUAGCGUGUGUAGAGAAAAAACUAUUAUUGACUCACCUCUUUGCCGUCGAUGACUUUCGUGAAUUCAUAGGGAUUCAUCCGUCAAAUGUACAAUAUUGACAAUAGAGCAUCUUUUCAGAUCAUUAAGAUCGGUCUACGCAAUUUCUAGAAUGUAAGUCAAUAAGUUCAUAAUCGGAAGAGAGUGACUUUCGAGUGUUCCAUUAAUCUUGAAAUUAGAGCUGUCCACCUCUAUCUACUGGUCAACUCAUGCCGUCAAAAGCUUCACACGGAUAGGUUGUGUAUUUAAUGUAAGUCUACUUCACCCUAAUCAUGUUCAUCGUAUCAUAUGAGCAGCAGAAUAGGACCUGCUUUUACAAUGAAUCAUUCUAUGAGCACUUUAAUUUCAGAGGAUCAUUACAGGACUCCGGCUAUGUGCAUUUGGUUUUUUCAAAGAUAUGAAUUUAAAAACAUGGUAACAAGGCUAACAGAGGAAUAAGGAAUUUCACACAACACAUGCUUACUAAGUUCUUGAUCAUCGUGGUUUCAAAUUCAUCCAAUUAUAUCAUUUGAGUCGGGAAACUAACAAAAAUCUACUUCAAAACGAUAAAGAAAAUAAGACAAUAUUUUUUGGAUUUUCACAUUUUCUGAAUUUUUUUUUUUUGGUUUUUUUAAAGUAAACAAAACUCAUUAAGAAAACAAAAAGAAACAACACGGAAACAAAUCAAACCAGUUCUUAGUCGAAGGUACGAAAAUUUUCAAUUUGGUCAUUUUUUCAAUCCUUACCCCCAAACCUAAACUGGACAUUGUCCCCAAUGUCAAAAAACACAUUAAUGCAUAAAAUAAAAAUAAAAUAAAAUAAAAAGAAGGAAAAAUUAGUAUCCGGUCCCUAGUUUUUACUGUUCAUUGACUAAGAUUUUAUUAGUUCUCAAAUUUUGAUUCAAGUCCCUAGCAUUAAUGUGAUAAUGAAUUUACUUGUUUAUUAUAUAAUUUUUUAAUAUAAAAAUUAGUAAUUAAUUUAGGGUUUAAUACUCACACCUCUAUUAAACUUCUAAUUAAUUUUCAAUUCAAACAUUUCCAAAAUAAUAAAAAAUUAAAUUAAAUUAAGUUUGUACCUAUUAGUUUUUUUUAUAUAUAUAAAAAGAUUCUCAAUUUUUUAAUCUUAAAUGUACCCAUUCAUAUAAUUUUUCAAUUUUUUUAAUCUUAAAUGUACCCAUUCUCAAAUAUAUCAAUUUGUUAUAUGUAAAAUGUACCCUUUUUUUAAUAUAAAAUCCAUUCAAAUUUUUUAAUUCAUGUUUAAACUUAUAUGGGUACAUUCUUUUUCGUUGAUUUGAGAAUGUAUCCAUGUUUUGGUACAAUAACUUUUUUUGUUAAUUUUGGUUAAUGUACCCAUACAUGUAUGUAUAUAUAUACACACACACACACACACACAAUAUAAUAGAGAGUAUAAUUUAUAUUUUAUUAUUUUUAAUCCCAUAAAUUAUGGGUUUUUAUUUAAAAUCUCAUUAAUAUAAACAAUUACAAAUUUCAAUUUUUAAUUUUUAAUUAAAAAAAUAUAGUAACUUACAUUAUUACAUUAAUGUCAGGGACCUCAAUCAAAAACUAAAAACUAACAAGGUUUCAAUCAAAGAAUAUUGAUAGCUAGGGACCACAUCCAAAGUGUCCCUAAAAAGAAACAAAAUAAAACAUUUGGACUGAAAACUUCCCCAAUUUGUAUUUAAAUCAAGCGAUGACCCCCAAACUCCAAUUUUACAAUCAACUUCAAGGGUGGACAUGAUCAAACUUUCCGAGAGUAAUCAUCCAAGGGGGGCUGGUUCUUGGACAUUCGAGUAUGCAUAUACUACGAAGAGUACCUGACAUAAAAACAAAAACAAAAACACUUUUUUUAUGCAUAUACUACGAAGAGUACCUGACAUAAAAACAAAAACAAAAACACUAAUUAGACAAGAAAAGAAAACAAUAGAGAAAUAUGUAAUUAGAAAUAACAAUCCCCGGCAACGGCGCAAAAAUUUGAUAGGAUUAAAAAGCAUAUCACAAAGUAGCACACAAAUGUCCUAUUGAUUUUCCUUAUUAAAGCUAAGAUUUGUCAAUUGUAGCAUAUGAAAAUAAGAGUCUUUCCCGCAGAAGAUUGUUUUAUCUAACUACUUAAAACGUCACAAAAACUGGGCUGCUGUCCUAACUAAUAGCAAGACCUUUUGUGAUAAAACUCCACACCUGACGGAUUGGGCAAGUGGUAAAGUUAGAGCAGUAUCGGUGUUAUUAGAGUGGGGCCCCAUGGGCCCGUCGAUCCAAAAAUCUAACAUGGUAUUAGAGCCAAGGUUCGGGUCUGUGCAAGCUAACAAGCUUGUCACCGAGAAGGAAACAAGGUAGGACUCUUAACAUAGAGCCGGUCUCUGAGUUUUAUUGAAAACAAGUCUGGACUCCUAACAUAGAGCCGACUUCUAAGUUUUAGUUGCCGAUGUGUGGAUCUCCACAUAUGAACCACUAAUGACAUGUUUACGUAAGGGUAAUCAGAUUAAAAAAAGGGAAUUAAAUUCUGAUUACAGAGUACUCCGGUGUUUACUAAAUAUUAGGGAAUCAAAAAAGUGGUGGAGCCCACACGAAACAAGGAAUCCAAUUCCUGAAAUUGGAGGAACGGGAUCGAUGAGGUAUUUGAAUUCCCGGAGGGUGAGGGUAUUUGAAUUCCCUGGACCGACCAUUUAUCAAAUAUCACGCGGUCACAAGUGAAUGUUUUUUUAUAUUUUCAAAAGUAAAGUAGUUUCGUUUUGUGUGAAAAAUAUAAAAAAUGAAAAAAUUGUGGCCGCACGAUCUUUGAUAAAUAGUUGUUAUUAAUUGAUCUCAGGGACCCUAAUAAGAGGAUCCGGAAAUGAUCUAAUUCCAUACAUUAGCAUCAUAAAACUAGAAUAUCCCUGGUCAUUUUUCUUAUUAAAUAAAUAAUUUCAUAAAACAAACUUCAACGUUAUGUAAAGUCGUCUACAAGACGAAAACCACUAUAGGAGUUCAACAACAUCAAAACUAGUGCGAACAACAACCGCAUCAACAACUAAACAACACACAUAACCAAAACUAGUCUUAAUUAUUAACCAAUCGCAAGCAAACCAAAUCCUUACAAAGCUAAGUGCCGCCAACAAACCAAGAAAAAAUAGUUGAACAUGGUGCAAUUGUGUGUAUGUGGUUCAAUAUCCUAGUGAAUAGAAUUUUUGGUUUCCACUCAUACCUCCUGAUUUCGAAAUUUUCUCCUCCUUUAAAUUAUUGUAAUAGUUUUAAAUCAUCUUCCGUGAAUGAUAAUAAAUUAAAAAAGAAAUGGUGCAAUUGUGGGGAAACUGUCAUUAAAAAAGAAAUGGUGCAAUUUUGGGUUUCCACCCUUACCUUAUCUUAUAGACCGUCGUUAUGUUUUUCACAUUACCAAACGUCAAUGAAAGAGCCAUUUUAAUCGUCAAUAAAAGUUCUUCGAAAAGAAAAGGCUAACAAGAGUAGCAUAUUACACUUCACAGCUCUCCAGCGAAAAGUUCAAAUAACUAACCAAUUUAAUUUAGAGAGUUUUAACGAAAAACUCACGGUAUUGUUCACUUUAACGAAAAAUCACAUUUUUACACUAAAAAGUCAAACAUAGUACUAUUCAUUUUACCCUUUAUUUUGUCCUUAUCAUUAAAACUCAAAACUUUCAAAUCUUUUUCAUUAGUUUUCUUUUUAAUUUAUCAUCUUCAACAACAGUAUAUAUUUUAACAAGCACUAUAACAUAAUCAUUUGACCAAAAAAAAGUCACCAUAUCUACAGUUUCCUACAAGCACUUUUCUUUCUUUUUUCCUUCGAGUUCUCUCUCACCACUCCUAUUCCUUCUCUCUCUCUCUCUCUCUCUCUCUCUCUCUCUCUCUCUCUCUCUCUCUCUCUGUUUUUUUUUCCCUUCAAACUCUCCCCUCCGCCAUUUGUUGCUUCACCAAUUUUAGAUCUUACCGACCACUUGGGGCUCCAUUGUCCCAAAUCUCAUCGCUUCCAUCGUUGUCGAUGCAACUACAAUAGCAAAUCCAUCAUCCCAGAUCUAAUGGGCUUUGCCGUCGUCCUCGAAUCGACUAGUCGAAACUCAUCCAAAUCCACAAAAUUCAUUGAUUCGUGGUUGUCGAUGCAACUAACAAUAGCGAACCAUUGUCCCAGAUCUAACGGACAAUGUUGCCGUCCCCAAAUUUACUAGUUGCCGUAUCCCCAGUCUACGACCCAGACAACGUGUGGAGCAAAAACAUUGCAUGGUGUGGAGGAAAAACAAUGAAAUAAGAAUAGCUAACCUACGAAUUUCUUUCUCCUCUUCAUUAAAAUUUAAAUCUAGUGAGGGACUAUUCACAACUUCAAAAUAACGAGGCAUAUAACGAGCCUUUUGAAGCUGAAGCUUUGUGAUUUAUAUGUUAAAAUAGCCAAACAGCCUUGUAAACGAGGCUGCUAAAGAUCGAUGCUCUUAUACAUUGCAUCAUUCUAGGUUAUUGCUUUGACUUUUGACUUAACUCAUAAGCACUUAUUUCUAGACAAAUCACUUUGGCUACAUCAUUUAGAAACUUUAUCUCAUAUAUAUAUAUAUAUAUAUAUAUAUAUAUAUAUAUAUAUAAAGUGAGUACCCUAAAAUAGUGAAACAUUCAAAAUACCAUAAAUUACCCUUUAAGAAUUUCAUAAAUUACAAUCGAACCAAAAGAAGCUAAAGUAUUUAACCAUAUUUUUAUUUUGAAUGAAUUUAAUAUUUAAAAUUAUAGAAGAAAAAAAAUAAUAAAAACAAAACCUCCCACGUUAGUGGGUGGUUUCACGUCUUUAAUUCAUUUUUUUUAUAAUAAUUUUUUAAAAAUAUUUAAAUUAAUUAUUUAAAUAUAAAAAUAUAAAAAGAUCAAUUGCCAUAUGCGUAUGCGUGUGGCAAGAGGCUAGUACUAUUUAAAUAUAAGGGAAAAUAGGAUAAGAGGCCAACGGAAGAUGGUGAGCACAGGCCUUCGGCAAACCUAACCCACAUAACAUAUGUAAUUAAGUGAUAAGAUGGCCGAAUCAUGUUCACUAAUGGAAGAUGGGGAGGUCAUUUCAUACGUUCUCAGCGAAGUGAAUUGUUCUAUGAUUGCUUCCUCUUAGGUGCAUUUCGCAGUUUGGCAUUUAGACGAUUGAACCACUUUCACCAUAAAAACCCUCAUCUCCUUUGAGUACUUGUGUUCCUACAGCUUGAUACCAAUUUGACGCACCCAUAUUCUCCCAAAUAUAGUUGAGGCGACCGAAUCUAGUGCAAGAGAUCUUAAACGUUGCGGUGAACUACGCAACCAUGUCUUCAGGUUCAAUAACUCUUGGCCAAAAGGUGUUACUUCCUCGGCCGUAGUUGCCCAAGUGAUGAAGUCAGCAACACAUAUGACAUGACCAUCACAUCUUUUCUACUCUCCUUAUAGAGUUCGAUUACAAGUUGGUACGCUUACAUUCACAAGAAAGAUGUUUACUCAUAGUUACUCGGCAUGCGCGCCACUUAGGCACUGUAAUUUUCAAAGUCAACAAAAGGUUAACACAUAUAAUUAAAUUCAUUGGCAAAUGUGACAUAUUCUUAUUGGGUGAUGGAUCUCACAUAUGUUUUGGAGGCGACUUUCAGGGAGAAGAGAGAGUCUAUAAAUCAAAAUGAAAUUGAUUUUGAGUUUCAAAGAGUAAAAAUGUUGUGGAGCAAAAAAUAAUCACAAGGUGACACGUGGAUUUUUGGACAAAAGAGGGCAAAAAUACCAUUGAGGUACAACGGGGUUCCUACGCGUGAGCAGCGGGUAAUCAUCUUUCAACCAAAUCAAAAGUGCCCAAAAUAGGUAACAAAUUCAAAGUUAUUUCAUCUAUCCUCAUCCUAUAUUUUCCACAAGGUAAUUAUUUCAUAACCUUCAAAACAUCCUAUAUAAAUUACAUAACCCCCAAAAUAUUUAUUCCAAAAAUGUGUUGAUUAACCAAUUAAUGGAUUAAUUGCCUAAUUAAUGUAUUAAAUCACACAUUAAACCAUAAGUUACACCCUAAAAAACAUCCAAAGGGGACCGGCCACACUAUCCCUAUAAAUAGGCUCCCAUUUUCACCAAAAGAUCAUUUCAACACACUUCAAAGUUCCCAAUACUCUCCAAACACUUUUCUCUCUAAAUUCUAACUUUGGCAUCGGAGGUUCUUCGGCCAAAGCCCCCCAUUCAUCGUGGGCGCGUGAGGCUUUUGGUCUGGACCCUAAUGUGUUAAUUGUUUUAUAGAUGUAAUUUUGUCCACAAUCAAGAAAGAAAAAAUUUACAUUCACAAAUGUGACUUUUGAGUUAUAGGAGAUAAAAUAUAAUUAAAAUCGAGUUUUAUAAGGCGUAAAUAAAAAUAAACCUGAUAACAACUAAAUAAGAGUUAUUCCAAAAGGAAAAAGUGAACUAAAGUAAGAGGAUCUAAGCAUAUUCCACCUUAUCAUAUAUAUAUAUAUAAAAGCAUAUUCCACCUUAAUUAUAAAAUUGCACUUGGACUGAUUAAAUUCUCUCACAAACACUUUCGACUAGACAAAAUGAUUACUUUGGAUACAUCAUUGAAAAAUCCAUCGAAAACUAGUUUAAUUAAUUAAUUAAUAUAUUUCAACUUCGAAAGAGAAAUUUUUCAUUGUGACUGGAAUACGAGUGGUACGUACAUUAUGUGUUUUUAUAUAAUGAUGAGAAAUUUUAUUUUUUAAGUUAUUAACUUUUAAAUACACAUAUCCUACCAUUUGUAUAGUAAUACAUCAUAUACCACUCUGUAUAUUGAUCGUACUGAAAAAUCUCUCUAGAAGUUGGUAAGAACACUCCUAGGGCAAACCUAACCCACAACAUAUGCCAUAUGCCAUCGAAUCAUAUGGAAAUAAAAAACAUGCAUAAACGUGGAUCGUUCGUUUCAAGCAUACGGUCCAGUUAACGGAGACGUUAUCAUGUUGGAUACAUGCAUGAUUAGAAACAAUUGUUUCCUACGCGUAGUUGACGGUAUAUCGGCGUGGAAUCAUCAUCUCUGUCCUGUUAGGCUAUCACUGUCACUGUUAGCUGGGAGGGGAAGGAAUCCGGCGAGGAUUUGAAAUUUGAUGGAUUCCGUGAUGAUGUUUGUUCAUUAUAUAUUGUGCGAUCAGUUUUUAUUAGGUACCAUUUAUAUUUAAUUUAAAAUUUAAAAAUUAAAAUAAUUUCUGAUAUCAUAAUGUAUGAUGAACGGACACGUUCACGAAAUUCUCUGAAUUUUCUGAAAAGAAAUCCGGCAAGGAUUCUUUUCAGCUGGGAGGGAUCGGGAGGUAUCCAAUUAUUGACCAUACUACUACUACUAGGCGCUUUGUUGACUUUCCAUGCUGCUGCAUAUGUUAAACAACAAGGGGGACCAUUUGCAAAUUCGACGGCUCCAAAAAUAUAUCACACAUAUUUUUGACGUGGAAAUUAGUCACUCGAUGUAUGAUGCUUGCCAGAAAACAUAUAGGCUGGCAACCACAUAGAGAAAGAGACUGUCCAGCUAAUUAUAAUAACCCUAGCAAAACACUGAGUGUCCACUUAAUUUUUUUAAUUAAAUAAUUUUUUGUCUGUAAGUCAUGUGAUAUAUAGUAAACAUUAGAUAUUUAGGAUGUAACUUUUUUGUCCUUAAUCAGACAUUUACAAACAUAAAUAAAAACAAGAAGAUAAAUCAAAGCACAGUUGAUUUACUUGCAAUGCACCCAUUUUCUAGUAUCACAACCAUAACACCCCAUGUAUGUGACUUUUUAGUUGUUGGAUCUUUAGCGAUUAGAUUUUUGGUUGUAUAUUCAGUCGUUUAUUUAUUUAGCCCAUAAUAUGAGCUGGUUGAUCCUAGAAUUUACACACCUUACUAAUCUUCAUUAGUGAUCAACAUCAUAUCCAUUUAGGACAAUAUUUACAUACACCUAUUUACAAAGUUACGGAUAGUAAACGUUCAAAUACCAUAAUAAAAAAUGCUUGUUUUGGUUAAUUAUCAUAUAAAGAUACAUGUAUCCAUGCACCUAGAUGCAAUUAGCGUAUGUUCACAGUAAAAAUAUCGUCUAUUAAUUAUCAUCUGAAUGUCAUUUCUAAAAAAACAUUAAUCAAAUUGAAGAUUAUCAGGAUAACUAUUUGAAAAUCAAUAUUCAACGAAUAAGGAUUUGCUUUGUUUGGGGUAAAAAAAGUGAUCUGAGAUUUUAUCCGGUAGGAUCCCAUGUAUCAAGGCAGGUAAUUACUUCAAAUAUGUUUCUUUUUUAGUUGCAAUACCCUAAUCUUAGUUUUAACCUUCAAACCCACUCGACCACUACUGAAAAUUAGAUAAUUAAGAUGCGGGACCACAACGGACGGUUGCUACGUGAAUCUGACUCUGCAUGUCGUGGAAUCGAUUCAGCAAAUGCAUAAUGUCCGCUCAUUCAACUUUGGGCCUUCACCUACUCUUUUUGCAUCUUGUGAUUUAGAUUUGGCUGCUUCCGAGUUAAGGGGAGAGAUUUUUUAACGUGUCUGGAAUACGGAUUAUAUGUCAAAUGUAUUAAAUAAAUGGUAAAACGGUUUUUUUAGGUAUCUCUCAAUUUGUAUAAAAACAUACAACCUAUUUGUCGGUGUUCUAAACACACUAAAAAUCUCUAAUUAUGCACCCAAAAUCAAAUUUUUUUAAAUAUAUAAAUGUGCUUACAACGAUAUUUAAGUCAAUUAUAUAGUAUUACGGCGUGAUAUUUACAAUUGCACAAACAAGUUUCUCCAAAAAGGAGAGAGCAAUUCCAAUUCCAAUUCCAAUGGAAUAUACCCAAAAGUGUGAUUGUAGCGGACGAAUAAUAUAUUUGGCAAAACUGUGCAAGAGAUAAUAACAUAUCACCCACGGAAUAUCCAAAUUAGAUACGAAAAUGUUAUUAGCAUUCUAAAAAAAGUUAUUUCAGUUAUAGACAAGUAAUUGAUGGAAUUACGGGACAUUUCCAAAUGCAAUAUAUCUUUCGAAUUUUUUUUUCAAAAGAGAGGUUCAGUAUGACCUGUUGCAUUGUCAAUAGAACAUUUUGUUACUUAUAUUGCUUGACUCUUCUCUUUAAAUAAAACUUUUUUAUAUUUAUACAAAUUACAGUUAGACAUAUGUGCAUACAUUUUUUUUUAUAUAAUUUUGAUGACUUAUUUCUUACCCGUCAAAAAAUAAUUAAAAAAGAAUUAACGGCCCUCUCGAAACGGAUACUCUUUUCGGAAAAGAAAUUGGAUAAUAUUUGGGUUUUGGAUUAUCCUAAUUUUACAUAGCUGUACAAGUGCAACUUGAACAGAUCACACUCCUCCAAACUCAUAUAAAUACCACCCGCAUCCACUCUAUUUCCAUCAACAAAUCAAACAAGUCCGUGUAUUCUGUGUCUUCUGUGUUCAUUUUAUUUGGAGGAGAAGAAGUUUGUGUCUUUCAAACACAAACAAACACUCCAGAAAUAAAAAACCAGAGAAGAGUAAAAAAAAUGGGCAAGGGAGGCCAAUCCUGCAAUGGCAUGGUUAGACAAGCCAAACCUGUUGAGCAGGAAAACAUGGCUGCUUGGCUUGUUGAUGUCAACACCAUCAAGAUCCUACCUUUCAAGCUCCCCAGUAUCGGUAUGUAUCUCUCUCCUUGUUCUUAAUUCCGUCCUUCUUUCCUUCGGUUUUCAAUUUUUUGUUUUUAAUUCUCGGUUUUCUUAGUUGUAUUGAUGCUAACGUCUUGCUCCCCUGUUUUGUUGGGAUUUCUUAAUUUUAGGACCCAAUGAUGUUCGAAUUCGGAUCAAGGCUGUCGGCAUUUGUGGAAGUGAUGUUCACUACCUCAAGACCAUGAAAUGCGCGGAUUUUGAGGUUAAAGAGCCAAUGGUAAUCGGACAUGAGUGUGCCGGGAUCGUAGACAAAGUUGGGAGCGAGGUGAAGCAUUUGGUGCCUGGUGACCGCGUGGCGGUAGAGCCUGGCAUCAGCUGCGCACGGUGCCAGCAGUGCAAGGGAGGCCGCUAUAAUCUUUGCCCUGAUAUGAAGUUUUUCGCCACCCCACCGGUUCAUGGUUCCUUGGCUAAUCAGAUUGUGCACCCUGCGGAUCUGUGCUUUAAAUUGCCGGAAAACGUGAGUUUGGAGGAAGGGGCAAUGUGUGAGCCCUUGAGUGUUGGGGUUCACGCUUGUCGGCGAGCCAAUGUUGGUCCCGAGACAACUGUCCUGAUCAUCGGAGCAGGGCCUAUUGGUCUCGUUUCAGUUUUAGCCGCUCGUGCUUUCGGGGCACCAAGAAUUGUGAUUGUGGAUAUGGAUGACAAGCGUCUAGCAAUGGCAAAGUCUCUCGGUGCUGAUGAAGCCGUGAAAGUUUCGACAAAAAUGGAGGAUUUAGAUGAUGAAGUUGCCGAAAUUAAAAAAGCCAUGAUCUCCGAAGUGGAUGUGACCUUCGAUUGUGUGGGUUUCAACAAAACCAUGUCGACCGGCCUCAAUGCUACUCGUCCCGGCGGAAAAGUCUGCCUUGUAGGAAUGGGACACGGUGUGAUGACGGUGCCUCUGACUCCCGCUGCUGCUAGGGAGGUUGACGUUGUUGGAGUUUUCCGAUACCAGAACACAUGGCCGCUUUGCCUCGAGUUUUUGAGAAGUGGGAAGAUUGACGUGAAGCCGCUUAUCACACACCGUUUUGGAUUUACUGAGAAGGAGGUGGAAGAAGCGUUUGCAACAAGUGCUCGUGGGGGUAAUGCCAUCAAGGUGAUGUUCAAAUUGUAAAGACGAAGACAGGUUUUGAUGAUCAAAUUGUUAGUAGAAUGUAGAGGGUGGGGUGUUGGGGGGAUUAUUUACAUGUCAUAACUCAAUAAGCAAGUUCCGUUCCACUGUAUGGUUUUUUAAGUAAUAAUAGUAUUACUUUUGGUGGGCUUCUCAUUCUGUUUGUUUUGUUACCGCGGAGCUUAACAAAAAGGAAUCCUCCACUCCUUUGCUAACUCAAUGGUGGCGAGCCGCCGCCUCAAAUUCCCCAAGUGUGGCUAUUGAACGAAAAUGCAAUCAAAUUCCCAAGCGACAAAAGCCACGGUUUUUCCCCAUGUGUGGCUAUUGAAGAAAAUGUCACAAUGACAAGCCGCCUCCUCAAAAUUCGUGGCCAUAGCCUAAAUUUUAAUAGCAUUUUAGAACAGUAAGAAAAUAAAAAAUUCCCCAUUCUUAAAGCAUUUUUACCGACUCCCUUUGCUCCACCUAAAUCUCUUUAGAGCAAAUUACUGUGCAUGAUCGACAAAGAAAAGGUACUGUGGAUGGAAUUAUGCAACAAUAAGCAGAAAGGCUUGCAUUCAUACUAAAUCAAACUAAAUCUUAAAACCCUGUGGCCAAAGCCUAACUUUGGCGUGAAAGUGACGCAAUCAUUCAUGUCGAGACCAUAUUCUUCAUCUGCCCAAAAUGCUAGUUCACCUCAUAAACAAUUGCAAGGGAAUCGAACUCAAGUGCAACAAAACCCGAAAUCAUUGCAUUCCAAGGUUAACACUUCAAAUCCACAUACUCAAAUAUUUAAUCCAAAUUUAGUCUCAAAGAUUUGGAUAUGUGCUUUACGUUUAGACAUAAAUAUAAAUAUAAAAAUAAAAAUAUAGGUAUACGAAUAAAAGCUCUACAUAUAAAUAUAAAAAUAUAGGUACGAGAAUAAAAAUAAUUGCUCUCCUAUGCACUACAAAGUGAAGACAUAUAUAUAUAUAUAUAUAUAUAACUUUUGAGUUCAAAUGAAACUUAUGAGUUUCAAUAUAAGAUUUAAGUCUAAGAUAAAGGUCACGCUAAUAAGGUAUUCCAACAAGAAAAAUGACAUUAAGUUCUAACUUCAACCACCUCCAAUGCACACUCCAAAUUUAUUAAAACUUAAGACAAUGUUUUACCUUCCAAUGUACAUACUCAAACAUUGAAAAUCUAUUGGCUUGUUCAAGUGACUUUGUUCACAUCAAUUAUGAACCCGUCAAUUAUUGCCAAGGCGUGUUUGAGUGUGUAUUAUUGGGGCAUUCAUUAUCCAAUUGUUAUUAUAACUACAAAAUGUUAUUCUUAUCAUUUUUUUAUACCAAAAAAAAAAUGUUAUUCUCUAAUAGAAAUAGAACUCACAUGUGUUAGUGACUCUAUUUCUAUUAGAUAAAUAAUACAAAUGUAGUAUGAAAAAUAUAAUAAAUCUAGCAUUAGUCGUUCUAAUUGUUGUCCGUACAACGGCUCUUUGACUUUCAUACUCCAAACUUCGUCACUGACAUUUGAUGCGCCAGAAAAUCCCAAUUGACGGUUAUUAGUUAAAGAGUUUUCUUUGGUCCUUAGGAGACAUUGCAACAUUAUUUGAUAUUAGGCUAAGUGGUUUGCCUUGACAAUAUUGGUUUUGUAUUUUUUUAAACAAUCGAUAUUUCUACAUUAAGAUGAGUUGGAUGGGCUUAGCCUCACUAUGGACUAUCAAUAAUGUGGUUCAAAUUCGUCUUUAGCAAGAAUCAAACCUAAGACUUUUCACUUACAAAUGAAGAUGAAUAUUACUAGACCGUAGUACUAAGUGGUAGACAAUGUUAAUUUUAAUAAUCAGAUAUUUACUGGCCCCAUCAUACAUUUUUAUUUGAUAAACUUCAUAUUUAUAUCAUUGCCUAAAAUAAUAAGACAAAUUUAUUUUUUGUAGUGGUAAAUUAUUGAAUUUUUAACCCAUUACGUUAUGAAUUCAAACCUUAUCAUCCUCUUAUUGUCUAAAUUAAUUUAGUGGCUAAAAUAAAUAAAUAAUUUAUCUGAUAUCUGAUAUGAUCCCGUAUCAAUUGAGGUAACUACUCCAAAUAUUGUUCCUUCUAGGGUUGCAUCCCUAAUCUUGGUUUAAAUUAAAAAUUGCUCAACUAUCUCUAUCCAAAAAGUGAAGCGACCACAAAAUCUACCAAAAAUUGAAUCGACGUGGGACCUACGUGGUGGAGAGAGAGGAGGGAUGCUACAUCAAUCUGACUCUGCAUGCCGUGGAAUCCAUUCAACAGUCCCUAAUACCCGUUGAUUCUGUGGUACUGUGGAGUGUGGAUGGAAUUAUGCAACGAUAAAAUAGUGUAUUAAUCUGCACCAAGACAACUGGAAAUACAAUAAACAAAAAAGGCUGGACAUGGAUAUAAAAUUUACAUGCAAAUGGGAUAUUUUAUCGACGUCGACACUACUAGAAUUUUGGCUAAAAGCCACUUUUUUCAUUGGUGUCUAUUGUCAAGUGUGGACACUCUUAUUGGUGACAAACCUCAAUGGCUACCAAACAACCACUAAAUAAGAGAACAUGGCCUAUGUAGAGGACUUUAUUGUAACAACGGAAACCCUUAUUACAUUGGUGGCAUCUGCAAACAUUGCCACCCUAAUUCACAUUGGUGGCAAAGUUGCAAAUUGUGUUUUAAAAAAAAGGAUGCCCUGUGUGGGCACCCAAAUUGGAGUAUCAUAUUUCUUUUUUUGUUUUUGGUGAGAAAACAAAUUGUAAUAUCAUUAAAAUGUAAGAAUACAACUAUAAAUUUGCAUAACUGAUAUUUUAUACAAUUUUGUACAAAUGUUGGAACCAAACUUUAAAAAGUCUUCGAACCCUUUGUUUCCAAGAGCUUAAUCAUCUCAAUAACUGAAUUGCUCAAGUGCAAUAACUCUUUACCUUCAGCGGUCUUUCUCUUUCCAUCUUAUUUUGCUCAACAGGCUCAUCUUCUCUGCCACCUGAUGGGUGAACACACAUAAAAAGCAAAUUCAGAAAGGCAAUUCAUUGUCACGUGCCCAACAUACCAACACUUAUAUACAUCUGUUAUCUCCAAGCAACAUAUUUAAGAAGAGCAACUUCAUGAAGUUUUCCUUAUAGAUAUCUCACAGUUGUUCAUUUCAUGUUAAGAUUAUUGCAUGUUACGAUGCAAAUAGAAAAGUUGAUACUACAAAAUUUGUCCCCACAAGUAAUUUACAUGUUAGGAUGAUGUCACAAAGUUAAUUCUACAAACUCGAGUCAAAACUUAUUUCCCAAAUGCUACCUGAAAACAAUUUUUUUCAAAUAGAGUUCAUAUGCACUACUAAGCUGAGAGUGAUUGAAAAUAUAGAGACAAAGCGCAUAUUCUUAAGUAUGAUGUAUUCAAAAUCACCUGAUGGUCAAACUCUGCUCGCUCUAUUGCCCGCAUGUCACUGUGGAGCUUCAGGUCUGUUGGUAUUGUUAUUUCUUUUACCGGAGGUUUCAGUAAGCACUGAGAUGACAAAUACAAAGAUAUGCAUACAAGUUAGUGGUUCGGUCUUGUCUGUCUUGCAAUAGCAAUAAAAUCACUUAAAUAUAGUCAUUUUCAUGUGAUUUUGAAUUGGUAUCUAUACUUCUAGUUCGUCAGUUGUCCAUGGGAGGCCCUGAGCAAUUGGUUUCCGCUGUCUAUCCUCCUCCAUCAUCAUCUCUUGUAGCUUCUUCGUGAACUCUUCCCCUUUCCUACAAUGAUAUCACAAAACGAAGUUAGAAGCAACGUAAACCAAGUAAACUUUCAAGUGCUUUUCGAUACCAUUCAUUUUCAGCACAGUUUAUGUCACAUCCCCGCUCGAACCCCACCACAUCCCGGCUCGACUCCACCAUAGCACGAUAUUAUUCACUUUGGGCCCCGACCACGCCCUUACGGUUUUGUUUCUAGGAACUCACACGAGAACUUCCCAGUAGGUCACCCAUCUUACAAUACACCUCCUUAGGGGCCCAACGUCCUCGUCAGCACAUUUCCGCCCAGAGAUUGGCUCUGAUACCAAAUUAUCACAUCCGGCCUGGGCCCCCACCACAUCUUAGGCUCGACUCCGCUAUAACACGAUAUUGUUUGCUUUAGGCCCCGACCACGCCCUCAAGGUUUUGUUUCUGGGAACUCACACGAGAAAUUCCCAGUGGGUCACCCAUCCUGGGAUUGCUCUCGCGUGAACUCGCUUAACUUCGGAGUUCCUACGAAACUCGAAGCCAGUGAGCUCUCAAAAGGCCUCGUGCUAAGUAGAGAUGGGAAUGUACAUAUAAGGCUUACAGGAUUCUCACACUUGGGCGAUGUGGGAUCUAACACUUUACCACUAUUCUUAGCUUGAAUGGCUUAGCGCUAGUGUCUCUCUGUUGCUUCUUCUUCUUCCAUCUCCCUUAUCCGAUUGUGCUAGAAGAUUCAGAGCUCUGAAAUUCAAACCGGAAUACAGAGGUAACCUGGGUUAGUUAAUCAUUUUCAAUCUCCAAAUAAUGUAAAAACAGUAAGGACAAGACUCACAUUUCUUCGGCUCCUUUGCACCCCCCUCAAAAUUCAAAGUCCUGUUUGAGACACUGUUUAGUCAAAAGAGCACAACCAAACUCAGUCAGGACAUACAACAAACACCUGAUGUGCAUCAAAUUCUCAUGCUAACCUUAAUCAAGUAUAAUUGCUAACCUUCCCAGACUUCCAUCCCAAGAAGAAGAGACUAAAGUUCGCCAAUCCAGACCAAGAUUAUCUGACGUCAAGAACAAGUCCGACGAGAAAAACGAAUAAGAUGAGACCUGUGUUUCCGACGCCUUAGGCUGAGGUUGCAAUCCGGGUAAUGCCCACUUCACCACCUUCUUCCCAAUCUCUUCCGCCGCUUCCUCCUCCCCAUUCUGCUCAUCCGAAUCCUUCGAGCUCGGAAUCGAAAGCAACUUCUCAAACGCCUGAACAAAAUGCAUCACCUUCCCACUUUUCGGCACGCUCUUCCUCGCCUCUUCUAGCAACUAAGACCUACAAAAACUUCCAUUCUUCUCGGCCCAGGUCACAAACAACCUUGAUUCACCUUCCUCGUCCCCAAUCUUCGACAUGCAUACAGAAAAUGGAAUAAAGAUUUAAAAUCUAGAAUCAAUCCAAAAGCUGAACACUUUUAUUUUGGAAAAGAACUUACAUUGAGGGAUAGCCCACGAGGAGAGGAUCAUCUUUACCUCUUGGGUCAAGUUCAAUUCCGGCAAGCUUGACCGUAAAUUGGCCGGAAAACCCCCGGUUACUGUUUCUUAGAUUUGAAAUUAAGGAAAUUCGGCUUCGAAUUUGAUGAAACUAACUUGGGCGUUGGAAAGAGGACGAGAAGAGAAUUUUGGAGGUACAAGUUGACGGUCGUUGGUGUUCUCAUCGCUAUCGUUUGUGUUCGACUCCCGUUGUCGGCGCCGUUGCGUGAAGAGAAGAGGGAAAAAAGAGAGAAUGAAGCGAAUGAGGUGUUGGACGUUUGUGAAGGGGAGAGAGAGGAUUUAGAUUUUUACACAAAAGCAAGACACCAAUCUCAGCUUAAAAGACACCAAAAAUAAAAGGACACCAAUAAAAAAAUUAAAGAGAUUUUUCAGUGUGAUCAGUACACGGGAUGGUACACCACGUGUCACUAUACAAAUGGUGAGAUAUGUGUACUAGAAAGUUAAUAAAUUAAAGAAUAACCAUAUGUGUUCCUGUCACAAUGGAAAUUUUCUCCACAAAUUAGAAGGCCACUAGUAUUAGUGGCAUUAACUAAAAAGACACCAAAAAAAGCCAAGAAUGCCAUCUUAAUGUCUAUAGUCACCAAUUGUAAAUGGUGUGUAAAUAUUAGUGUUCUAUUACUAUAAUUCUAGUAGUGCGAGGCUCUUAUCUUUUUGUUUUUGCUCUUUAUUUCAGUUUUUCAAAUUUUUAUUUGUUUGUGGGGGAUUUCAAAAUACAAAUGGACUAUUUUAUCAAUUGAGCCAUUAUAUAAUAUGUGAGAAGAUACAUGUCUUAUUAUUCGCCUUCAUCUCGUGCUGCUAUAGAACAACAUUAAGGCAACUAAACUCUCAAUUAGAGACUACAAAAAAUUCGGGUUUUCAUUACAUCUCGAUAAUUACAUUCGUUUUUUAAUAUAUUCGGUUUAUUUUUUGUCGUGACCCAUUAUGAUAAUAAGAAUAAGAAGGAAAUUAAACUAAAUUUAAAGUAUUAGAAAUGUGAAAUCUACUAAAAAAUUUGAGAAAAGCCUCAAAGUUUGGAUUGAAUAAUAUGAAAGAUAACACUAUAUCACCACGGAAAAUAGUUUUAUAGUUUUCCACAAAUCUAUGUUUGCGAGAAAAUCCUAAGUGAAAGCAAAAUACCUUUGAACAGAAAACCAUAUCAUAAGUUCAAAUCGGAGUUGAUAGCCUAAGUCUAUGUUGUGUGGAUCAUGCUAUAUGAUUUAAUAUAAUAAAUUUAUCGUUUGACAAAAAAUAAAAUAAAAUCCUUAACCAUUAAAUUCUUGGUUGUAUAUUCAACCAUUCAUUCAUUUAAUUGGUUACUAAUAUGAGAUGGUCCAUUCUAGAAUACUCACACCCAAUUAAUCUUGUGAUCACCAUCAUAUUCAUUAAGGACAACAUUUGCAUACAUCUAUCUACACAUUUGUGGAUACUAACUGUACAAGUAUCAUAAUAAAAAACACUCAUUUGACUAAUGGAAUUUGUACGGUUAGUAUCCACAAAUGUAUCAACCUCAUGCCCAAAAGAAAAAUAAAGCCCGAAAUUAUUUUAAUUAAAAUCAUAUCCAAUAAACCUAAACAACUAAUGCAAUAUAAUUAGCAAUUAAUUAUAUCUUAUCAUCAUUCAUGUAACGUUAUUAGAACUUACCAUGUGUGUGACCUCUUAGGUUCUAACUAAAAGUUCAUAUAUUUGACCACCAACACGUGAUUAGUGUAUAUUUACUGUAAAAAAUGUUGUUUAGAAAUUAAACCUUCGUAGUGAAGAUUGUUAGGAAUUGAGCACCAAAUUAACUACUGCUGAAAACUAAAUAAUUAAGAUGCUGGACCACAACGGACGGUUUGCUACGUGAAUCUGACUCUGCAUGUCGUGGAAUGGAUUCAGCAAAUGCAUAACAUCCGUUCAUUAUUGAAUUUUAAUUUUAGGCCUACACCUACUCUUUUCGCAUCUUGUGACUUAAUUAGAUUCGGAUACUUCCAAGAAACUCGCAAGUAUCAAUCCCCAAAUAUUUAUGUUGCUUAGAAAAAUUAGUUUACCUGUUAUUUAUAUAUUUAUUAUCAAUGAAUUAUAUUACCUGUUAGGCUCCUAAAAUUGAGAACUUUAUAUUAUAUAAUUAUCAUUGUAAUAAUAUUUUAAAUCUGUUAUAUAGUAUUAACUAUUAUUAUGGGGUGAAAUUUGCAAUUAAACAUAGAGGUUUUUCUCUCGAGAUGUGCUAAGCAGACUUUCUCAAAGUGAAACUCUUCAUGUAUUCUCCGUCUCCUCAUGUUUUUAGCACAAUAUUUUAUAAUGUUAACGCGAGAAUUGUGCAAAAAACCUGAUGUGGUGGAGAGUCCAUCAAAAGUCUCCUUAACAUUUCUCUUUUUCAUAAUGAGAUACCAAUUCCAAAUCCAAAGGAAGUGAUAUACCCAAAAGUGUGAUUGUAACGGAGAAUAAUAUAUUUGACAAAAAUCGUGCAUGAGAUGAUAGAAUAUCAACCACGGAAUGACCAAAUAAGAUAAGAAAAUGUUACUAACAUUCCAAAAAGAAGUAUUUUGUUUUACACGAGUAAUUGAUGGAAUUGUGGGACACUUCCAAGUGCAAUUCAUCUUCUGAUUGACACUGUUGCAUUGUCUAGCACAUUUUGUUAUGUAAAAUACUUGGCUCAUUUCCUUAGAAAUAAAUCAUUUUAUAUACAUACCAAUCACAUUGAACAUGUGCACAUAAAUUUUUUUAUUUAUAUUUUCAGUGACUUAUUUCUUACUUGUCAAAAAUUAAUUUACAAAAGUAAAUUAACUGCCCCUCCUCGGAAAGGAGCCAAGAAUAUCCGUCCGUUAAUUGGUAACGGAUACUAAUCCUUUUCCUAAGAGAAAUUGGAUAAUAAUUUGGUUUUGGAUUAUCCUAAUUUUACAUAGCUGUACAAGCGCAACUUGACCAAAUCACACUCCUUCAAACUCAUAUAAAUACCAUCCCCGCAUCCACUCUAUUUCCAUCAACAAAUCAAGCAAGUCUGUGUAUUCCAAUUUCCGUGUAUUCUUAGUCCAUUUUACUUGAAGAAGACGAAGUUUGUGUCUUUCAAACACAAGAAAACACUUUAAGAAAAAUACAGAGAAGAGUAAAGAAUGGGUAAGGGAGGCCAAUCCAGCAAUGGCGUGGUAAGAGAAGCCAAACCUGUUGAGCAGCAAAACAUGGCUGCUUGGCUCGUUGAUGUUAACACCAUCAAGAUCCUACCUUUCAAGCUCCCCAUUAUCGGUAUGUAUCUCUCUCCUUGUUCUUAAUUCCCUCCUAGCUUUCGUUGGGUUUUCAGUUUAUGGUUCUUGGUUAUGUUUUCUUAGUUGUAUUGGUGCUAACAUCUUGCUCCCUUGUUUUGUUGGGAUUUCUUAAUUUUAGGACCCCAUGAUGUUCGAAUUCGGAUCAAGGCUGUCGGCAUUUGUGGAAGCGAUGUCCACUACCUCAAGACCAUGAAAUGUGCGGAUUUUGAGGUGAAAGAGCCAAUGGUAAUCGGACACGAGUGUGCAGGAAUCGUAGACAAAGUUGGGAGCGCGGUGAAGCAUUUGGUACCUGGGACCGUGUGGCGGUAGAGCCCGGCAUCAGCUGCGCACGGUGCCGGCAGUGCAAAGGAGGCCGCUAUAAUCUUUGCCCUGAUAUGAAGUUUUUCGCCACCCCACCGGUUCAUGGUUCCUUGGCUAAUCAGAUUGUGCACCCUGCAGAUCUUUGCUUUAAAUUGCCAAAAAACGUGAGUUUGGAGGAAGGGGCAAUGUGUGAGCCCUUGAGUAUUGGGGUUCACGCUUGUCGGCGAGCCAAUGUUGGUCCCGAAACAACUGUUCUGAUCACCGGAGCAGGGCCUAUUGGUCUCGUUUCAGUUUUAGCCGCUCGUGCUUUCGGGGCACCAAGAAUUGUGAUUGUGGAUAUGGAUGACAAGCGUCUAGCAAUGGCAAAGUCUCUCGGUGCUGAUGAAACCGUGAAAGUUUCGACAAAAAUGGAGGACUUAGAUGAUGAAGUUGCUGAAAUUAAAAAAGCCAUGAUCUCCGAAGUGGAUGUGACCUUCGAUUGUGUGGGUUUCAACAAAACCAUGUCGACCGGCCUCAAUACUACUCGUCCGGGCGGAAAAGUCUGCCUGGUAGGAAUGGGACACGGUGUGAUGACGGUGCCUCUGACUCCCGCUGCUGCUAGGGAGGUUGACGUUGUUGGAGUUUUCCGAUACCAGAACACAUGGCCGCUUUGCCUCGAGUUUUUGAGAAGUGGGAAGAUCGAUGUGAAGCCGCUUAUCACGCACCGUUUUGGAUUUACUGAGAAUGAGGUGGAAGAAGCGUUUGCAACAAGUGCUCGUGGGGGUAACGCCAUCAAAGUGAUGUUCAAAUUGUAAAGACAAAGACAGGUUUUGA
RNAcentral lists this long non-coding RNA (38168 nucleotides) under Malus domestica (apple). Its description in RNAcentral is "long non-coding RNA (MDOM_LNC018596)". Lineage: Eukaryota; Viridiplantae; Streptophyta; Magnoliopsida; Rosales; Rosaceae. The record is from RNAcentral.